Molecule: ribosomal RNA, 328 nt
Filed under: Allapsidae sp.
Lineage: Eukaryota; Cercozoa; Glissomonadida; Viridiraptoridae
Description: SSU rRNA
Rfam family: Eukaryotic small subunit ribosomal RNA (bases 114-328)
Source: RNAcentral
GAUUUCUGGCACGAUGCGCCUGGCCCGCCACGGUUACGUGUGUGAGUGCCGGGUCGGAUCUGCCAUCCUUCCAGAGUGCGGCCCUACCCUUCACUGGGCCGGGGCCGUUUCUCUCUGGAUCGUUUACUUUGAACAAAUUAGAGUGUUUCAAGCAGGCGUCGCCGCUGUGAAUACAUUAGCAUGGAAUAAUAACUUAGGGCUUCGGUUCUAUUUUGUUGGUGUUCUAGGGCUGAAGUAAUGAUUGAUAGGGAUAGUUGGGGGUGCUAGUAUUCAGUGGCCAGAGGUGAAAUUCUCGGAUUCACUGAAGACUAACUUAUGCGAAAGCAUU